Acanthosepion pharaonis is the source of this 110-nucleotide non-coding RNA. The record is from the annotation of a GenBank genome assembly. NCBI's taxonomy places the organism in Eukaryota, Metazoa, Mollusca, Cephalopoda, Sepiida, Sepiidae.
AGCCACAACACAUUUAAACACCCGUUCCCGCACGAUCCUUGAAGUUAAGGAACGUCGAGCCUGGUCAGUACCUCGAUGGGUGACCGCUUGGGAAUGUCAGCUACUGUAAG